Molecule: ribosomal RNA, 446 nt
Filed under: uncultured bacterium
Lineage: Bacteria
Description: SSU rRNA
Rfam family: Bacterial small subunit ribosomal RNA
Source: RNAcentral
AGAGCGAACGCUGGCGGCAGGCUUAACACAUGCAAGUCGAACGGAUCCUUCGGGAUUAGUGGCGGACGGGUGAGUAACACGUGGGAACGUGCCUUUUGGUUCGGAACAACUCAGGGAAACUUGAGCUAAUACCGGAUGUGCCCUUCGGGGGAAAGAUUUAUCGCCAUUAGAGCGGCCCGCGUCUGAUUAGCUAGUUGGUGAGGUAAAGGCCCACCAAGGCUACGAUCAGUAGCUGGUCUGAGAGGAUGACCAGCCACAUUGGGACUGAGACACGGCCCAAACUCCUACGGGAGGCAGCAGUGGGGAAUCUUGCGCAAUGGGCGAAAGCCUGACGCAGCCAUGCCGCGUGAAUGAUGAAGGUCUUAGGAUUGUAAAAUUCUUUCACCGGGGACGAUAAUGACGGUACCCGGAGAAGAAGCCCCGGCUAACUUCGUGCCAGCAGCCGC